AUUGCAGAACUAUUUUUCAAACUACAUGGGUGGGUUUUUAAAUUGAUUUUAGAAAACAUUGCAAUCUAACCCCAAUGUUGAUCAAUUUGCCUCAUUGGAAGUAUUUCUUGCAACAAACUGAGGUUUUUGACUUAGCCCUCCUUAUUCCCAGAUUGAGCAUGUUGAAUACUAAUCUGUCAGAAAAUAUUUCUCUUAAUUUUGGCUUUCUCUAAAUAUAAGUCUCCCUAAACCUCUACGAGCCCUAAAACACCAACCAUCAGUCGUACCCUCACCGCCAGUCACCAUCAUAAGCUGCCCACCAUCUCUAUCGGCAUCUUACAUCUGCCACCGGAUCUCUUUCCUCGCCACCAUCGAAUAGCCACCGAUCACUCACCUCCAUUACUCCAAUUGUUUCUAGCUGACACCAAAUGGAGCUGUUGGAAUGAAAACGAAUGGAGCUAUAAGAAUGAAAUCGAAGUCAUGAAGAGGAACAAGAACAGGGACGAAAAAUAUGGUGCUUCGUUUUGUUUGAAUUUUCCCCCUGCUUAUUACGAGCUCUAAAUGAAAACUUGUAUUAUUUUGAAUUUCAAUCCAGAUUGUAGGAAUGGGUCAAAUCAGCCACUAGAACAAUUUUGGGUAUGUUUUUUUUUGCUCCUUUCUAUGUAAUGCUUGGAAAGGAACGACAACCCAAAAGCCAUAUGAGGGGUUUGGGAAUACCCAAUAACCAUGUAGUCAUCUGGUAUGGCUUCAGAAGCUUUCUUCAUCUUUUUGUUUCAUUAUCUUUUCCUGAUUUAUUCACCCAUAUCUUACUUGAAAGUUUUUGUGAACACAUGUAACUAAGGGCUCUUUCUUUAUAAAACUUACUUGACUAACAUGAUGUGUAUUAACAAUCUUUUUAGGUGGUUGUUAAGAUCUUUAUUUCUUUUUGCAGAUCUGACCAUAAAUGAUCUAUCGAUGUCCAUCUUUUGAUAAUUUCUUUUUGUCGUUAUGUUAAUAAGGUUUUUAGACCAUUUCAAGGUUAAGGUUCGUAUUAAGCUCAAAAUAAAAAGAUAAAUGGAUGAAAUAAGAUAAUGUAAGGGCAAGAGAAAAGUUUGAUUGCUUAUUUAAUUAUUAAAACUGUUGUAUAAAAUGAGUUGUAAAUAUCCGAAUGUAGGAGAGAUGGUGGUCAAAUGAAGUUGUGUACAUGGUAUGAUGUGAAAUGAAUGUAGGAGUAGAGUAUUUGGACUUUACAACAGGUAAGAGAUCCUCAUAAAGCUUCAAUUUACAGGUUUCAUAGCUCCAACCUUCAAGUUUUGAUUUCAAAAUUUCACCCCUAAAAUGCGUCCACAAUGGUAAGUACCUAAAAUGUUAUUUCAAAAUGGUUUAGGAUCCAAUUUUUCUCGAGUUAUCUGAUUAGUCAACUUAUGCCGGAUAAAUCAGAUGUGCAACAUCAGAUCUAUACCUUUUGUAUUUUAUGUUAGCUUUUAAAUGUCUCAGGCCUAUACUUUUCCUUUCGUGCUGAUUUCAAUAUACAUGUUGAAAUUUGGGUCUGUCAUUGUUUAUGUUGAAACGAAAGUUCACCUGAUUUUUUUGAAUCCGGUAUCUUUUAAAAAAAUAUAUCUUAUCCUUGCAAAUGAUCAACAAUUGUAGUUCCUUGAAGCUUAAUCUUUGAUUUGUGUUUUUAUUUUUUUAGCUUAUUUGGGAAAACUUUCUAAUAGACUUUGUAUUGUGAUUGAAAAUGAUUAAAAAAUCAUAGUUCGAAUAUCCUCCCAUUGGAUACUCACCAUACAAUCUUCCAAAACUAUGGUUCGGUUGUUCAAGCGGGGAUCAAAUGUCAUGCCUAUGGACUUUAAUCCCCAAUAACCUCUUAGGUUUAUUCCAUAUCUACUUACUUCCACCCCUAAAUAAUGUUUGACCUCAUUCGUUUGAUACUUUUUCUCAUGAUCUUAAAUUUAUCUUAAGAGCAAAAUGCAAGAAAUGGCAACAUACUUUCAUUUAUAUGUUUAUUAUAACAUCCUACUUCUAUUUUCAUUCUACUAUAAAACUUUUAGCACCUAGCAAUAGAGACUAUGAUUCCUUCAUGUCCUAUUCAAGUGACAAUAUGGUAUGAGUUUGGUUUUGAGUUUUUGUUUCCUGGGAUUAUAUGGUUGUUUACAUUUAUUCAGAUCUGAAUUUUAUAGUUUUCAGACAGUUCUUUGCUUCAACAGUUUCUCAUAGAAGAUUGGCUUCUUUGGUUGGCUUACUCACAAAUUGCCAACCCCUAGGAUAUAUUAUGAUUGAAUGAUUAGCUCCCAUUGCAGAUUGUGUUUUGCACCAUUGGUUCAAAUUAAAGUCUAUAUGAUCAUUAGGUUGUGAGUUUGAGAGAUACAUGUAUGUUGCUAGAGGUUACUUUCUUGAUACACACGAGCCUGAAUAUGUUGAAAAGAGCAUGCAAGUAUAGUUACAAUCUAAUAACAAAAAUAUUCAUUAUAGUUUCAUCCUUACAUGUAUAGACACUUUAAAUAAUAAAAGCUCAAUUGUGAUA
Long non-coding RNA from Lactuca sativa (garden lettuce), 2482 nucleotides. RefSeq lists it as uncharacterized. NCBI's taxonomy places the organism in Eukaryota, Viridiplantae, Streptophyta, Magnoliopsida, Asterales, Asteraceae. The record is from RefSeq and is a predicted model, not a curated record.